CUCUUUCUUUCUCUCUCCCUCACUUUUUCGCUUCUAUCCAUUGUGUUGCAGCCCAUCCUAUAGAACAGCCUCAAUUCAUCAGGGCAUGGACUCUACAAGGUGUCAAAUGUUCCACAGGGAUACUGGCCCAUGUUUGACUCGAACGUUCCCCACAGUUGUGUCAAAUUGGCUGGAUGACCUUUGGGUGGUGGACCAUUCUUGAUACACACGGGAAAAACCCAGCAGCGUUGCAGUUCUUGACAGACACCAGUGCGUCUGGCACCUAUUACCAUACCCCAUUCAAAGGCACUUACAUCUUUUGUCUUGCCCAUUCACCCUCUGAAUGGCACACACACACACACACGAUCCAAGUCUCAAUCGUCUCACGGCUUAUAAAUCCUUCUUUAACCUGUCUCCUCCCCUUCAUCUACACCGAUUGAAGUGGAUUUAACAAGUGACAUCAAUAAGGGUUCAUAGCUUUCACCUGGAUUCACAUGGUCAGUCUAUGUCAUGGAAAGAGCAGGUGUUCUUAAUGUUUUGUACACUCAGUGUGCGUAUCCUUGGAGCAAGCAGACCCUAGCCAUACACUGUAGAACAUCUAAUUGGCCCUCUCUAACACACACACACACAAAAUCAUACAUUUAUGCACCAAAAACCCUCUGACACAGAAACGUUUCCUGUGUGCCUGCCCAUACAAGCAGUGCUUCCUGAAAAAAAAGCACUGGACACACACACACACACACACACACACACACACACACACACACACUAUAUUGCUCUCUCGCUACAACACUGGCACCAAUUAUCCUCUCUGACUGGAGUGUUUUGAUGGUGUAAUUGUCACGGACAGAGAGGAGAGCGGGAUGGAGGGAUGUAGAGAGG
Molecule: long non-coding RNA, 861 nt
Filed under: Salmo salar (Atlantic salmon)
Lineage: Eukaryota; Metazoa; Chordata; Actinopteri; Salmoniformes; Salmonidae
Description: lncRNA (ENSSSAG00000107866.1)
Source: RNAcentral